UGGGGAAUAUUGCACAAUGGGCGCAAGCCUGAUGCAGCCAUGCCGCGUGUAUGAAGAAGGCCUUCGGGUUGUAAAGUACUUUCAGCGGGGAGGAAGGGAGUAAAGUUAAUACCUUUGCUCAUUGAAGUUACCCGCAGAAGAAGCACCGGCUAACUCCGUGCUAGCAGCCGCGGUAAUACGGAGGGUGCAAGCGUUAAUCGGAAUUACUGGGCGUAAAGCGCACGCAGGCGGUUUGUUAAGUCAGAUGUGAAAUCCCCGGGCUCAACCUGGGAACUGCAUCUGAUACUGGCAAGCUUGAGUCUCGUAGAGGGGGGUAGAAUUCCAGGUGUAGCGGUGAAAUGCGUAGAGAUCUGGAGGAAUACCGGUGGCGAAGGCGGCCCCCUGGACGAAGACUGACGCUCAGGUGCGAAAGCGUGGGGAGCAAACAGG
This 429-nucleotide ribosomal RNA is filed under the name Fusobacteriota bacterium. Its description in RNAcentral is "Fusobacteria bacterium partial 16S ribosomal RNA". It matches the Rfam family "Bacterial small subunit ribosomal RNA", at positions 355 to 776 of the family's 1533-position model. Lineage: Bacteria; Fusobacteriati; Fusobacteriota. The record is from RNAcentral.